CUGACGAGCACGCCGCGUGAGUGAUGAGGUCUUCGGAUCGUAAAACUCUGUUAUUAGGGAAGAACAAAUGUGUAAGUAACUAUGCACGUCUUGACGGUACCUAAUCAGAAAGCCACGGCUAACUACGUGCCAGCAGCCGCGGUAAUACGUAGGUGGCAAGCGUUAUCCGGAAUUAUUGGGCGUAAAGCGCGCGUAGGCGGUUUUUUAAGUCUGAUGUGAAAGCCCACGGCUCAACCGUGGAGGGUCAUUGGAAACUGGAAAACUUGAGUGCAGAAGAGGAAAGUGGAAUUCCAUGUGUAGCGGUGAAAUGCGCAGAGAUAUGGAGGAACACCAGUGGCGAAGGCGACUUUCUGGUCUGUAACUGACGCUGAUGUGCGAAAGCGUGGGGAUCAAACA
RNAcentral lists this ribosomal RNA (396 nucleotides) under Staphylococcus sp. Its description in RNAcentral is "bacterial SSU rRNA". It matches the Rfam family "Bacterial small subunit ribosomal RNA", at positions 383 to 774 of the family's 1533-position model. The record is from RNAcentral. Lineage: Bacteria; Bacillati; Bacillota; Bacilli; Caryophanales; Staphylococcaceae.